This 242-nucleotide ribosomal RNA is filed under the name uncultured Streptococcus sp. RNAcentral describes it as "partial 16S ribosomal RNA". It matches the Rfam family "Bacterial small subunit ribosomal RNA", at positions 1139 to 1382 of the family's 1533-position model. Lineage: Bacteria; Bacillati; Bacillota; Bacilli; Lactobacillales; Streptococcaceae. The record is from RNAcentral.
UCUAGCGAGACUGCCGGUAAUAAACCGGAGAAGUGGGGAUGACGUCAAAUCAUCAUGCCCCUUAUGACCUGGGCUACACACGUGCUACAAUGGUUGGUACAACGAGUUGCGAGUCGGUGACGGCGAGCUAAUCUCUUAAAGCCAAUCUCAGUUCGGAUUGUAGGCUGCAACUCGCCUACAUGAAGUCGGAAUCGCUAGUAAUCGCGGAUCAGCACGCCGCGGUGAAUACGUUCCCGGGCCUU